This 511-nucleotide ribosomal RNA is filed under the name uncultured Enterobacterales bacterium. RNAcentral's name for it is "bacterial SSU rRNA". It matches the Rfam family "Bacterial small subunit ribosomal RNA", at positions 29 to 528 of the family's 1533-position model. Lineage: Bacteria; Pseudomonadati; Pseudomonadota; Gammaproteobacteria; Enterobacterales. The record is from RNAcentral.
AUUGAACGCUGGCGGCAGGCCUAACACAUGCAAGUCGAACGGUAGCACAGAGGAGCUUGCUCCUUGGGUGACGAGUGGCGGACGGGUGAGUAAUGUCUGGGAAACUGCCCGAUGGAGGGGGAUAACUACUGGAAACGGUAGCUAAUACCGCAUAACGUCGCAAGACCAAAGAGGGGGACCUUCGGGCCUCUUGCCAUCGGAUGUGCCCAGAUGGGGUUAGCUAGUAGGUGGGGUAACGGCUCACCUAGGCGACGAUCCCUAGCUGGUCUGAGAGGAUGACCAGCCACACUGGAACUGAGACACGGUCCAGACUCCUACGGGAGGCAGCAGUGGGGAAUAUUGCACAAUGGGCGCAAGCCUGAUGCAGCCAUGCCGCGUGUAUGAAGAAGGCCUUCGGGUUGUAAAGUACUUUCAGCGAGGAGGAAGGCGUUGUGGUUAAUAACCGCAACGAUUGACGUUACUCGCAGAAGAAGCACCGGCUAACUCCGUGCCAGCAGCCGCGGUAAAAGGG